Molecule: ribosomal RNA, 462 nt
Filed under: uncultured bacterium
Lineage: Bacteria
Description: bacterial SSU rRNA
Rfam family: Bacterial small subunit ribosomal RNA
Source: RNAcentral
CAGUAGUCACGAGUUUGAUCAUGGCUCAGAAUGAACGCUGGCGGCAUGCCUAACACAUGCAAGUCGAACGAGACCUUCGGGUCUAGUGGCGCACGGGUGCGUAACGCGUGGGAACCUGCCUUUAGGUUCGGAAUAACUCAGAGAAAUUUGAGCUAAUACCGGAUAAUGUCUUCGGACCAAAGAUUUAUCGCCUUUAGAUGGGCCCGCGUUGGAUUAGCUAGUUGGUGGGGUAAAGGUCUACCAAGGCGACGAUCCAUAGCUGGUCUGAGAGGAUGAUCAGCCACACUGGGACUGAGACACGGCCCAGACUCCUACGGGAGGCAGCAGUGGGGAAUAUUGGACAAUGGGCGAAAGCCUGAUCCAGCAAUGCCGCGUGAGUGAUGAAGGCCUUAGGGUUGUAAAGCUCUUUUACCCGAGAUGAUAAUGACAGUAUCGGGAGAAUAAGCUCCGGCUAACUCCGUG